AUUGAACGCUGGCGGCAUGCCUUACACAUGCAAGUCGAACGGCAGCACGGGAGCAAUCCUGGUGGCGAGUGGCGAACGGGUGAGUAAAGUAUCGGAACGUGCCCAGUCGUGGGGGAUAACGUAGCGAAAGUUACGCUAAUACCGCAUACGAUCUAUGGAUGAAAGCGGGGGAUCGCAAGACCUCGCGCGAUUGGAGCGGCCGAUAUCAGAUUAGGUAGUUGGUGGGGUAAAGGCUCACCAAGCCGACGAUCUGUAGCUGGUCUGAGAGGACGACCAGCCACACUGGGACUGAGACACGGCCCAGACUCCUACGGGAGGCAGCAGUGGGGAAUUUUGGACAACGGGCGAAAGCCUGAUCCAGCCAUGCCGCGUGCAGGAUGAAGGCCUUCGGGUUGUAAACUGCUUUUGCACGGAACGAAAAGGUUUGGGCUAAUAAGCUGAGCUCAUGACGGUACCGUAAGAAUAAGCACCGGCUAACUACGUGCCAGCCGCCGCGAUAA
This 500-nucleotide ribosomal RNA is filed under the name uncultured bacterium. Its description in RNAcentral is "partial 16S ribosomal RNA". It matches the Rfam family "Bacterial small subunit ribosomal RNA", at positions 30 to 523 of the family's 1533-position model. The record is from RNAcentral.